UACAGAGGUCUCAAGCGUUGUUCGGAUUCAUUGGGCGUAAAGAGCUCGUAGGCGGUGUGUCGCGUCGGCCGUGAAAACCUGGGGCUCAACUCUGGGCGUGCGGUCGAUACGGGCAUCACUUGAGUUCGGCAGGGGAGACUGGAAUUCCUGGUGUAGCGGUGAAAUGCGCAGAUAUCAGGAGGAACACCGGUGGCGAAGGCGGGUCUCUGGGCCGAUACUGACGCUGAGGAGCGAAAGCAUGGGUAGCGAACAGG
This 254-nucleotide ribosomal RNA is filed under the name uncultured bacterium. RNAcentral describes it as "partial 16S ribosomal RNA". It matches the Rfam family "Bacterial small subunit ribosomal RNA", at positions 524 to 776 of the family's 1533-position model. The record is from RNAcentral.